AGGGAAUCUUCCACAAUGGACGCAAGUCUGAUGGAGCAACGCCGCGUGAGUGAAGAAGGUUUUCGGACCGUAAAGCUCUGUUGUUGGUGAAGAAGGAUAGAGGUAGUAACUGGCCUUUAUUUGACGGUAAUCAACCAGAAAGUCACGGCUAACUACGUGCCAGCAGCCGCGGUAAUACGUAGGUGGCAAGCGUUGUCCGGAUUUAUUGGGCGUAAAGCGAGCGCAGGCGGAAGAAUAAGUCUGAUGUGAAAGCCCUCGGCUUAACCGAGGAAUUGCAUCGGAAACUGUUUUCUUGAGUGCAGAAGAGGAGAGUAGAACUCCAUGUGUAGCGGUGGAAUGCGUAGAUAUAUGGAAGAAUACCAGUGGCGAAGGCGGCUCUCUGGUCUGCAACCGACGCUGAGGCUCGAAAGCAUGGUAGCGAACAGGAUUAGAUACCCUGGUAGUCCAUGCCGUAAACGAUGAGUGCUAAGUGUUGGGAGGCUUCCGCCUCUCAGUGCUGCAGCUAACGCAUUAAGCACUCCGCCUGGGGGAGUACGACCGCAAGGUUGAAAC
This 552-nucleotide ribosomal RNA is filed under the name uncultured bacterium. Its description in RNAcentral is "partial 16S ribosomal RNA". It matches the Rfam family "Bacterial small subunit ribosomal RNA", at positions 356 to 900 of the family's 1533-position model. The record is from RNAcentral.